This 443-nucleotide ribosomal RNA is filed under the name uncultured bacterium. RNAcentral's name for it is "partial 16S ribosomal RNA". It matches the Rfam family "Bacterial small subunit ribosomal RNA", at positions 338 to 795 of the family's 1533-position model. The record is from RNAcentral.
CCUACGGGUGGCAGCAGUGGGGAAUAUUGGGCAAUGGGCGCAAGCCUGACCCAGCAACGCCGCGUGAAGGAAGAAGGCUUUCGGGUUGUAAACUUCUUUUCUCAGGGACGAAGCAAGUGACGGUACCUGAGGAAUAAGCCACGGCUAACUACGUGCCAGCAGCCGCGGUAAUACGUAGGUGGCAAUCGUUAUCCGGAUUUACUGGGUGUAAAGGGCGUGUAGGCGGGGAUGCAAGUCAGCUGUGAAAUCCCCGGGCUCAACCCGUGGCCUGCAUUUGAAACUGGGUUUCUUGAGUGCUGGAGAGGCAGGCGGAAUUCCUGGUGUAGCGGUGAAAUGCGUAGAUAUUAGGAGGAACACCAGUGGCGAAGGCGGUCUGCUGGACAGUAACUGACGCUGAGGCGCGAAAGCGUGGGGAGCAAACAGGAUUAGAUACCCUAGUAGUC